UACAGAGGGGGCAAGCGUUGUUCGGAAUUAUUGGGCGUAAAGCGCGCGUAGGCGGCUACCUAAGUCGGAUGUGAAAGCCCCUGGCUUAACUGGGGAAGUGCACCCGAAACUGGGUAGCUAGAGUGCAAAAGAGGGUCGCGGAAUUCCCAGUGUAGAGGUGAAAUUCGUAGAUAUUGGGAGGAACACCGGUGGCGAAGGCGGCGACCUGGGUUGACACUGACGCUGAGGCGCGAAAGCGUGGGGAGCAAACAGG
This 253-nucleotide ribosomal RNA is filed under the name uncultured bacterium. Its description in RNAcentral is "partial 16S ribosomal RNA". It matches the Rfam family "Bacterial small subunit ribosomal RNA", at positions 524 to 776 of the family's 1533-position model. The record is from RNAcentral.